AGCUCACAGGCCAUAGGUCGAAUUAGAGCUACAGCUGCUGGCCUACACCACAGCCACAGUAAUGCCAGAUCCGAGUGCGUCUGUGACCUACACUACAGCUCAUGGCAAUGCAGGAUUCCCAGCCCACUGAGUGAGGCCGGGGAUCGAACCUGCAUCCUCAUGGGUACUGUUCAGGUUUGUUUCUGUUGCACCACAACAGAAACCCUCAGGACUCCAUCUUUUAAUUGGAGGUUUGCACCCAUUCAUUAUCUUCAUCCAUUUACCCCACGCGCUCCACCUCACGCCCAGCCUGUGGCAACCACCAUCUGUUCUGUUUCUUUGGGUUCAGUUUUCUUUGAUUUGUCUUUUGUCUUAUUUCACUUAACAUAAUGCCCUCUAGGUUGAUUUAUUUUGUGGCAAGAUUUCCCUAUUUAUGGCCGAAUGCUAUCCCAUUGUGUAUAUAUGCCACAUUUUCUUUAUCCAUUUGUCUGCUGGUGGACACUUAGGUUCCAUGUCUUGGCUGUUCCAUGACAUGCUGCAGUGAAAAUAAAGGUGCACAUAUCUUUUCAGAUUAAUAUUUUAGUAUUUUUUAGUAUUUUUUGGAUAAAUACCCAGAAGUGAAAUUGCUGAAUCAUAUAGUGGUUCAAUUCUUAAUUUUUUCUUCCUUUUGACUGCACCCAUCAUGGCAUAAAGAAGUUCCUGGGCCAGGGAUCAGAUUUGAGCUGGAGCUGUGACCUGUGCUGCAGCGGCAGCAAUGCUGGAUCCUUAACCCACUGCACCAGGCUUGGGCUCAAACCAGUGCCUCCAUAGAGGUAAGCCAGAUCAUUAAUCCACUGUGCCACAGCAGGAACUCCACUAUUCUUAAGUUUUUGAGGAGCCUCCAUACCGUUUUCAUACUCGCUGUACAAACUUAAAUUCCUACUAACAGUGCAGAGGAUUCCCUUUCAUGUACACAUGUUCCUACACUUAUCUUCUUACCUUUUUCAUAAUAGUCAUUCUUAACAGGUGAGAGGUAGAUAUCUCAUUGUGGUUUUUGUUUUUUUUUCUUUUUAUUGAGUUACAGUUGAUAAAAUACUGAUUUUUGGUAUAUAAUACAGUGAUGGAGUAUUUUUAUACGGUAUACUCCAUUUAAAGUUAUAAAACAUGGGCUGUGUUCCCUGAGAUGUACAUUACAUCCCUGCAUCUUACUUCGUACUUAGUAGUGUAUACUUCUUAAUCCCCUUCCACUCUGUUGCCAUACCCCCCACCUGUCUCCCCACGGAUAACCACUAGUUUGUUCUCUGUGAGUCUGUUUCUGUUGUGCUGUAUUCAUUGAUUAAUUUUUUAAAUUCCACAUAUAAGUGAACACAUACAGUAUUUGUCUUGAUCUGAUUUCCUUCAUUAAGCAUAAUACUCUCUCUCUCUGCCAUUUGCAACAAUAUGGAUGGACCUGGACUUUUUUUUGUGGCCAACGUGUGAUCUAUCCUGGGCACCGUUUCAUGUGCACAUGAAAAGAAUAUGUAUUGUGUUAUUUUUGGAGGUACCUAUUAAGUCCAACUGAUCUAAUAUGUCAUUAAAGACCCCUGAUUUUCUGCUCGGAUGAUCUGUCCAUAGAUAGGAGUGGGGUGUUCAAGUUCCCUACUGUGAUUGUGCUUUUGUCAGUUUCUCCCUUUAUGUCAGUUAAUGUUUGCUUUAUAUAUGUAGGUACUCCUAUAUUAAAUGUGUAUAUGUUUAAGAAUGCUAUAUUCUUUCUUGCAUUGACCCCUUUAUCAUUAUAUAAUGCCCUUUGUCUUUUGUUACAACCAUUGAAAGUCCACUUUAUCUAAUGACUGUUGCAAACCCAGCUUGCUUUUUUUUUCCAAUUGUAUGAAAUACCUUUUUCUACCCCCUCACUUUCACUCUGUCUUUAGCUCUUAAGUGAGUCUUCUGUAGGGAGAACAUAGAUGGAUCUUGUUAUUCUCAUCCAGUCAGUCUCCCUAUAUAUUUUGAUUGGAGCAUUUAGUCCAGAGACAUUUUAAGUGAUUAUUGAUUGGUAUAUACUUAUUGCCAUUUUUCUGAUUGUUUUUGUAGUUCUUCUCUGUUCUUUAUUCUCUUCCCUUGUGGUUAGAUGAUUUUCCUUAAUAUUAUGUUUGCAUUCCUUUUUCUUGUGUAUCUUAUAGUUUUUGACUUGUGGUUAACAUAGGAUUCAUAUAUGUUGACCUAUAGCUAUAUCUACUUGUUUUAAACUUACGGUUAUUUAAGUUCAAACACUAAGAGAAUCUAAAAGAUCUACAUUUUUACUCCCCUCCCAUGUUUUUGAUGUCAUAUUUUACAUCUCAUGUUUAUCCUUUAACUGUUUAUUGUAGUUAUAUUUUUGUCUUUUUAUACUAGUUUAUUUAUACUAGUUUUUACUUAAAUGGUUGAUCCACAGCCUUUACUAUAUAUUUGCCUCUACUGAUAGAAUUUUCCUUUCCUAUAAUUUCUUAUUUUAGCCUUUUCUUUUUCACUUAGAGAAGACUCUUUAAUACUUCUUGUAAAGUCAGUUUAGUAUUCGUGAACCUUCUUAGUUUUUGCUUGUCUGAGAAGCUCUUUAUCUCCUUUAAUUCUGAAUGAUUGAUAAAUUGCUGGAUAGAGUAGGUUUUCCCCUCUCGGCACCGCUAAAGUUUCUUCAGAAAAAAACCACAUGAUAGUUUUACAUGGUUUUCGUAUACAUAAGUUUUUCUCUUGCUGCCUUUAAAAUUCUCACUUUAACUUUGGCCAUUUUAAUUCUGUCUUGGUGUGGGUGUCUUUGCAUUCAUCUUAUUUGAGACUCUGUACUUUUGUACCUGGAAAUCUGUUUCCUCUUUCAGGUUUGUGAGGUUUUCAGUUUAUAAUAUCAUCCAGUAAAAUUUCAAACCCUUCUCUCUCUUUUCCUUCUGGGACCCCUAUAAUGCAAAUAAUACAGUUGAAGCUGUCUCACAGGUCCCUUAAACUAUUCUUAUUUUUUUAAAUUUGAUUUUCUUUUUGCCGUUCUGACAGGGUUGAUUUCCAUUAUUGUCUUCCAGAUUCCUUAUUUGUUCUUCUUUAUCACCCAAUUUGCUGUUAAUUCCUACUGUGUUUUCUUCUUCAGCUCUGUUUUUUUUUUUAAUAAUUUCUAGUUCUUCAUUGAAAUUCUCAAUUAACAGUGAUGUGUUAAUCUAUUCUUUCCCCAAAUUCAGUUAGCAUACUUAUUAUUGCUUUGAACUACCUAUCAGGUAGAUUAUUUCUCUCUUUCAUUAGGGUUUUUUCCCACAGCCUUUUUCUUAUUCUUUCAUUUGAAAAGUAUUCUUCCAUUUUUUCAUUUUGUUAAGUUUUCAUGUCUCUCUGAAAGUAAGGGAUGUCAUUACCUAUCCUCAUCUUGACGGUGUGACCUUGUGUGAGAUCAUCCCUGUGUAGCCUGCAUGUGCCCAGCAGAUGUGCUGGGAGCCUGAUCUAAAGUGAACAUGGGCUGCAUCUUCUCCAUGGGUAUGCUGGCAGCCAUGACCCUAAUGGGAGGUAGGGCUGGAGUUGGAGGGCUAGAGCCAAAGUCAGGUGCAAGCCAGGGUUUCUCUGUCCAUCGUUGUUAAUAGCUGUGUCAGAUAAGGGCUCAGGAGGCCGGAGCAGGAACCCUGAGGGAGUUGGGUUUCUCCUGGUAUCGUGGUAGUUUCCUUGGCUAGGGUUGUGACCGGGGCCUGAGGGCUUGGGGCUGUAAGUCUGUUCUGGUUUCACUUUUUCACCCCGUGUGUGUGCCUUGGUUAGAGGCUGGUUUGGGAGCAGCGGAGUUUUGUGCCCACCUCUUAGCUGGCCUGACCCCCUACCCCCUCUUGCCAUGGAUGGCCAUACCCUCGAGCUAGCCUUGCUCCUUCCAAGUGUCUGCAGGGAUACAUGUUUUGAUGGUGGUCGUCUCCACACUCUGGAGCUAGUUUUGCUUCUGAGUGUGUGCACCAAGGCGCCUGGCUGGCAGUGGCUGUCUUCGGCCUGUAAGAGGCAGGGCUGACAUUGAUGAGCUCUGGUUCCUCCAGUGUGCACACUUGUUGGCAAUAGCAGGCUUUGCUUUAGUGGGCAUGCUAAGGCAAGAGGGGCUGGAAGAGAGGCCUGGUAUAGGCUAGGGGACAUGCUGGAGGGAUCCUAGCAAGCCAGCCAGGACCCCGUAGGCAGUUUUCAAUCUGCUGCCUUUGUGCUGUGACUGGGAGUAAGCAGUGCUCUUGUGCACAUGCUCUUCAAGAGCAGAGUCUUGGUCUCUUAUACCCCCAUAAGCACCAGUGGUUUUCAGAGCAGCACAGGGGGCUCUUUUCCCCACAGCUAGAUGCCCAGGAUUGAGGGUCUACCUAAUAGAGGGCCACACUUCUCCCUAGGGAGUUCCCAUUGCUGGUGAUAUCUACCUCCCCUUCUGGGUCCCCCAGCAUCUGUCCAGGUCCUGACCAGAUUGCUUCUCCCUGCCACUCCCCCUCAGACAACGUGUGGGUCUUUCUUUACAACCGUAGUUAUAGAAGGGCUGUUCUCCCAGUGUCCGGGUCAUUUCCAGCAAGAGUUGCUUCCCAUGUAGUUUUUGAUUUGUUUGUGAAAGGAGGGUGGGCUUUGCAGCCCUGUCUCACUGUGGCUUUGUUUGCAUUUCCCUGAUAAUUAGUGAUGUUGUCCACACUUUCAUGUACCUGCGGUAAUUUGAAUCUCUUUUUGAAGAAAUGGCUAUUCAGGUCUUAGGCCCAUUUUUAAUUGGAUUAUUUCACCUAUACUUUUUUUUUUUUUUUUUUGCCAUUGAGUUAUUAGUUCUUUAUGUAUAUUGGAUAUUAACUGCUUAUCAGAUAUAUGGUUUGCAAAUUUUUCUCCCAUUUCAUAUGUUGCAUUUUCAUUUUAUUGUUUCUUUCACUGUGCAGAAGCUUUUUAGUUUGUUGUAGUUCCACUUACUUUUUGCUUUUAUUGUUUGUACUGUAGUUGUCAUCUCCAUUAGGUUAUUAUUGCCAAGACCAAUGUCAAGGAGAUUUUCCCCCCUUUGUUUUCUUCUAGGAAUUUUAUGGUUUAAGGUCUUAAAUUUAAGUUUUAGUCCAUUUCAAGUUCACUUUUGAGUGGUGGAAAUAGUUCAUUUUCAUUCUUUAGCCUGUGAAUAUGCAGUAUUUUCAGCAUGAUUGGAGAAAUUUAUCUUUUCUGUAUUUAAUUGACAAUAUAUGUAAUGACUUAUUUCUGGGCUCUUGAUUAUGUUCCAUUGGUCUCUGAGUCUUUGUGCCAGUAUGAUCUUUGGAAUACUAUAGCUUUGUGGUAUAUUUUGAAAUCAGGAAGUAAUGAUACUUCCAGCUUUAUUCUUCUUCCACAGGAUUGCUUUGGCUAUUGAGAAUCUUUUGUGGUUCCAGAAGAAUUUUAGGAUUUUCAUUUUCUGCAGAAAAUGCCAUUGAAAUCUUGAUAGAGAUUGCAUUGAAUCUAUAGAUUACUUUGGGUCGUCAGGACAUUUUAACAAUAUUCUUUUAAUCCAUAAACAUAAAAUAUCUUUUAUUUAUGUAUGUUAUUUUCAGUUUCUUUCAUCAAGAUAUUGUAGUUUUCAGUGUAUGGAUCUUUUACUUCCUUGUUAAAUUUAUUGCAAAAUAUUUCAUGUUUUUCAUGCUAUUGUAAAUGAGUUUCUUUAAUUUUUGGAAAUUUGUUGUUAAUGACUAGAAAUGCAACUGAUUUUUAUAUGUUGAUUAUAUAUAUAUAUAUCUUGUAAGUUUACUGAAUUCACUUAUUUUUGGAUUAUUUAGACUUUCUAAAUAUAAGAUCAUGUCAUCU
RNAcentral lists this long non-coding RNA (5688 nucleotides) under Sus scrofa (pig). RNAcentral describes it as "lncRNA (ENSSSCG00005016253.1)". Lineage: Eukaryota; Metazoa; Chordata; Mammalia; Artiodactyla; Suidae. The record is from RNAcentral.